CUCCUACGGGGCGCAGCAGUGGGGGAUAUUGCACAAUGGGGGGAACCCUGAUGCAGCGACGCCGCGUGGGCGAAGAAGCGCCUCGGCGCGUAAAGCCCUGUCAGCAGGGAAGAAAAUGACGGUACCUGAAGAAGAAGCCCCGGCUAACUACGUGCCAGCAGCCGCGGGAAUACGCAGGGGGCAAGCGUUAUCCGGAUUUACUGGGUGUAAAGGGGGCGCAGACGGCGAGGCAAGCCAGGAGUGAAAGCCCCGGGCCCAAACCCGGG
This 266-nucleotide ribosomal RNA is filed under the name uncultured bacterium. RNAcentral describes it as "partial 16S ribosomal RNA". It matches the Rfam family "Bacterial small subunit ribosomal RNA", at positions 336 to 618 of the family's 1533-position model. The record is from RNAcentral.